UAACAAUGCUGGAUUGGUAUUUUAAGGAA
RNAcentral lists this non-coding RNA (29 nucleotides) under Rattus norvegicus (Norway rat). The record is from RNAcentral. Lineage: Eukaryota; Metazoa; Chordata; Mammalia; Rodentia; Muridae.